GAGAGAUUCUUUAGUGAUUACCUGCAGAAAGAGGAUUAUUAGACCAAAUUAAGAAAUAAAUUGAAGGAAGUUUUUAUUCUUAUUCUAUACAAAAUUCAAUACUCUCCCUCAAAAGCAUAAAAACCGGCAUAAACCUAACUAAAUCGCAGGAACAAAGACGAUUAACAAAUAUAAAAUUUCAACUAAACAUAUGCAAUGUGAAAAUACAAAAAAUUCUAUCCAGCAACUAUUACAUUAUCGGCAAUAUGUAAAUUUAGUAAUUCACAGCGAUCAAUCCUCAAAAAUCAGUACUACAUACACAUGCAAUUCUAGUGGCGUUGUCUGAUUGCUGAGAAAAGGCAUUAAACCAACACAUACAAAAAAUAGCAAUUGUUUUCCACUCAAACUUUC
RNAcentral lists this unclassified non-coding RNA (390 nucleotides) under Hevea brasiliensis (rubber tree). The record is from RNAcentral. Lineage: Eukaryota; Viridiplantae; Streptophyta; Magnoliopsida; Malpighiales; Euphorbiaceae.